RNAcentral lists this ribosomal RNA (595 nucleotides) under uncultured Bacteroidota bacterium. Its description in RNAcentral is "bacterial SSU rRNA". It matches the Rfam family "Bacterial small subunit ribosomal RNA", at positions 122 to 715 of the family's 1533-position model. The record is from RNAcentral. Lineage: Bacteria; Pseudomonadati; Bacteroidota.
CAACCUGCCCAUCACUUGGGGAUAACCUUGCGAAAGUAAGACUAAUACCCAAUGAUAUCUCAAGAAGACAUCUGAAUGAGAUUAAAGAUUUAUCGGUGAUGGAUGGGGAUGCGUCUGAUUAGCUUGUUGGCGGGGUAACGGCCCACCAAGGCGACGAUCAGUAGGGGUUCUGAGAGGAAGGUCCCCCACAUUGGAACUGAGACACGGUCCAAACUCCUACGGGAGGCAGCAGUGAGGAAUAUUGGUCAAUGGGCGAGAGCCUGAACCAGCCAAGUAGCGUGCAGGAUGACGGCCCUAUGGGUUGUAAACUGCUUUUAUAAGGGAAUAAAGUGAGCCUCGUGAGGCUUUUUGCAUGUACCUUAUGAAUAAGGACCGGCUAAUUCCGUGCCAGCAGCCGCGGUAAUACGGAAGGUCCGGGCGUUAUCCGGAUUUAUUGGGUUUAAAGGGAGCGUAGGCCGGAGAUUAAGCGUGUUGUGAAAUGUAGAUGCUCAACAUCUGCACUGCAGCGCGAACUGGUUUCCUUGAGUACGCACAAAGUGGGCGGAAUUCGUGGUGUAGCGGUGAAAUGCUUAGAUAACACGAAGAACUCCGAUUG